AUUAUCCCAAAACUGAAUCCUCUAUCGCUUAGCUGGUAGUAGGAAAUGUAGUUUUUCGGUUGGCUUGAUGCUAAAUUAAUUGCAGCCUAUAGUCCGCACGAUUGCGGCCAUACUCAUAGAGGGUGUAAAGCCUGUACUGGUUGCUUUUGAUUUAGCUAACAAGUCUUCCAAGAGUCGAGUAGUUUGGGACUGCUACUCAAAGACGGGUGGUAGACUCCAUCCAAGGCUAAAUAUAACACUAGACCGAUAGCAAACAAGUACCGCGAGGGAAAGUUGAAAA
This 280-nucleotide ribosomal RNA is filed under the name Scutariella japonica. RNAcentral describes it as "partial large subunit ribosomal RNA". It matches the Rfam family "Eukaryotic large subunit ribosomal RNA", at positions 103 to 370 of the family's 3401-position model. The record is from RNAcentral. Lineage: Eukaryota; Metazoa; Platyhelminthes; Rhabdocoela; Temnocephalidae.